GUUCCAUCGGCCCCGCCCCCAGCGACUGCUGCUCCGGAUUUGUUGUUGACAUCGCCAAAAAUGUUCCAAGCGACAGAAAAGCGGAUUAUUUGAAAGUUUUUCAGUUCAACUAAUUAAUUAACUUUACCUGCGGGGCGCGCGACAACGGCAGCAGCUUUAACAUUGCUGUAUGUUGGUGACCACAAUGCAGGAGCAGAGUGAACCAGGACUGCAAACCUGCUCCAUCUUCUCGUCUCUGGAGAUUUCCAUUUACAAAAUGUCUGUGAAGGUUCUCAGUCAUCCAGGUCAUCGUAGUCAAAGGAGUUUGCAAAGAAAGGCGUCUGGACUUCUUUAAGUUGCUUGAAGACGUUUCACCUCUCAUCCGAGAAGCUUCUCCUCAGUGACAACAACACCUACGAAGCUUUAAAACGAGACCCCACAAGCAGCUACAAAAAGAAAGUUAUAGCUUGCCUUCAAGACCUUGAAAAGGACAAAAUCAUUGACCGCCUCACAUAUCACCGCCUUUAUCCAGGGGAUGCCAUACCCUGCAUUUAUGGACUUCCUAAGAUCCACAAGGAAGGGGUCCCACUCAGACCCAUAGUCAGUAGCAUAAACUCAGCCACUUAUAACAUUGCAAAACACCUUGCUACCAUCCUUGCACCUCUCGUGGGGAACACCCACACCCACAUCAAGAACUCCACUGACUUCACCGACAAGGUCCAGAAACUUACCCUGGAUCCAGAUGAAACCAUGGUGUCCUUUGAUGUAGUCUCUCUCUUCACUUGCAUACCCACCACGGAAGCAGUGGAGACUGUCAGAAAACGACUACAAGAAGACAGCUCCUUGGAAGACAGGACCAACUUCACACCCGAUCAGAUCUGCACACUGUUAGACCUCUGCCUUACCACAACAUACUUCAAAUACAACGAAGGCUUCUACAGACAAAAACAUGGCUGUGCCAUGGGCUCCCCUGUGUCACCUAUUGUAGCCAACCUUUACAUGGAGGAAGUUGAAAGAAAGGCUCUUGGCUCUUUCAAAGGAGGAGCACCCAGCCACUGGUACAGAUAUGUAGAUGACACCUGGGUCAAAAUCAAGACACAAGAAGUGGAAUCCUUCACUGCGCACUUUAACGCCAUGGAUAAAAACAUCAAGUUCACCAGGGAAGACACAAAGGAUAACUGUUUGCCUUUCCUGGACUGCGCUGUGCACAUUGAAGAGAAUGGCAACCUCAACAUUGAAGUUUACCGGAAGCCCACACACACGGACCAGUACCUCCUCUUUGACUCCCAUCACCCUCUGGAACACAAACUUGGAGUAAUUAGGACCCUACACCACCGGGCAGAACUUGUUCCCUCUAAGCCUGAAGAGAAAAAGAAGGAACACACACAUGUAAAGGAAGCACUGAAAACAUGUGGUUAUCCUAACUGGGCGUUCAUAAAGUCAGCAAAGAGGCACAGAAAAGAAGAUCAGACACCAGCGAGGGAGGAUAAGAAAGACAGACGCAACAACAUUGUCAUCCCCUAUGUAGCCGGUGUAUCAGAGAAACUCAGGAGAGUUUUCUCCAAGCAUGACAUCCCAGUGUACUUCAGACCAAGCAACACACUCAGACACAAACUGGUUCACCCGAAAGACAAAACUCCAAAACACAGACUGAACAACGUGGUGUAUGCGGUACAGUGCAGAGAGGAAUGCCCGGACGUCUACAUUGGAGAGACCAAACAGCCACUUCACAAGCGUAUGGCACAACAUAGAAGAGCCACCUCCACAGGACAAGACUCAGCAGUCCAUCUGCAUCUUAAGGAUAAAGGUCACUCUUUCGAGGAUGCCAAUGUUCACAUUUUGGACAGGGAGGACAGAUGGUUUGAAAGAAGAGUGAAAGAGGCCAUCUAUGUCCACUGUGAGCGACCAUCUUUGAACAGAGGCGGUGGUUUACGACACCAACUCUCUGCCAUCUAUAAUCCAGUUUUGAGUUCCCUCCCCAGACGCCUUAACGCCCACUCACAUCCUGGGCCAUCUGACCUCAGGAAUUCACAUGACAAGGUGGGGCCAGGUUUCACAAUGGGCUCACCCGAAACCCUGGCUGAUUAGGUCCCACACCCGCUUUCACACCUUGGCGCAUGUGAUUAGAGGAUCACCAGGGGGUCCUUUGUCCCUCCUUGGGGGGAUACUCCCACUGGGUUUAAAUCUGGGACUCUCGGCCAUUUGACCUUAGAACUGAAGAAGCUUCUCGGAUGAGAGGUGAAACGUCUUCAAGCAACUUAAAGAAGUCCAGACGCCUUUCUUUGCAAACUCCUUUGACUUCCAUUUACAAAGCACCAACAACUCAAAGGAGCUGCCCUCAGAUUCAGACCUCAGCACCACCCAGUGAAAGCAGACAGAUCAUUCAACAUGUUCACGUUAACUCCAAAAUUAACUGAUGAAAGCUGCAGCUGUUUUAUUGAUAAAGUCAAAAGGAUUAAUCACCCCUGUCACUGUCACUAUAUAUCAGCAGUCUGGUGUUUCAGAAAGCUGCUAUCUGAGACCUGUAGAGGUUCUGUUUUAAACACUGAAUGCACUCAGCCACAUGAAGAGCACAUGAGAUUUUCCCUGACACACUUAAAUAAAACCUGAUGAAGGUUAACUAAAAAC
Oreochromis aureus is the source of this 2607-nucleotide long non-coding RNA. Lineage: Eukaryota; Metazoa; Chordata; Actinopteri; Cichliformes; Cichlidae. The record is from Ensembl.